AGAGUUUGAUCAUGGCUCAGAUUGAACGCUGGCGGCAUGCCUAACACAUGCAAGUCGAACGAGGGUAGCAAUACCCUAGUGGCGGACGGGUGAGGAACACGUAGGAAUUUGCCCUUAAGUGGGGGAUAGCCCGGGGAAACCCGGAUUAAUACCGCAUGAUCUCGAAAGAGCAAAGUGGGGGAUCGUAAGACCUCACGCUUUUGGAGAAGCCUACGUCGGAUUAGCUAGUUGGUGGGGUAAUGGCCCACCAAGGCGACGAUCCGUAACUGGUCUGAGAGGAUGAUCAGUCACACCGGAACUGAGACACGGUCCGGACUCCUACGGGAGGCAGCAGUGGGGAAUAUUGGACAAUGGGCGAAAGCCUGAUCCAGCAAUGCCGCGUGUGUGAAGAAGGCCUUCGGGUUGUAAAGCACUUUAAGUUGGGAAGAAAAAGCUUCACCUAAUACGUGAAGCCUUGACGGUACCGACAGAAUAAGCACCGGCUAACUCUGUGCCAGCAGCCGCGGUAAUACAGAGGGUGCAAGCGUUAAUCGGAUUUACUGGGCGUAAAGCGUGCGUAGGCGGUUUGCUAAGUCAAUUGUGAAAGCCCUGGGCUUAACCUGGGAAUUGCAGUCGAUACUGGCAGACUAGAGAACGGUAGAGGGAGGCGGAACUCCAGGUGUAGCGGUGAAAUGCGUAGAUAUCUGGAAGAACACCGAUGGCGAAGGCAACCUCCUGGGCCUGUUCUGACGCUGAGGCACGAAAGCGUGGGUAGCAAACAGGAUUAGAUACCCUCGUAGUCC
RNAcentral lists this ribosomal RNA (782 nucleotides) under uncultured bacterium. RNAcentral describes it as "bacterial SSU rRNA". It matches the Rfam family "Bacterial small subunit ribosomal RNA", at positions 8 to 796 of the family's 1533-position model. The record is from RNAcentral.